RNAcentral lists this unclassified non-coding RNA (234 nucleotides) under Hevea brasiliensis (rubber tree). The record is from RNAcentral. Lineage: Eukaryota; Viridiplantae; Streptophyta; Magnoliopsida; Malpighiales; Euphorbiaceae.
GGGUUGGAGAAGCUGGUUUCUGAGAUUGAUCUUGUCAAGUCUUUUUCAUGGGGACAAGAUUUGGAAAGCCCAGAGAUGCUUGCACAAGGCUUUACUCAUGCCAUUUCAAUGACUUUUGACAAAAAGCAAGAUUACACUGCAUUUCAAACCCAUCCUAAUCAUGUUGAAUUUUCUGCUACAUUUUCUGCUGCUAUUGAGAAAAUUGUGGUGCUUUGUUUCUCAUCUGUUCAGGUU